ACUUGAUCUCAAAUCAGAUAAGAGUACCCGCUGAACUUAAGCAUAUCAAUAGGCGGAGGAAAAGAAACUAACUAGGAUUCCCUCAGUAACGGCGAGUGAAGCGGGAAGAGCUCAAAUUUGAAAUCUUCAAGGUUUUACCUUGACGAAUUGUAGUUUAAAGAAGUGUUUUCUGUUGGAGUUUUGGUAAAAGUUCUUUGGAAAAGGACAUCAUAGAGGGUGAGAAUCCCGUAUUUGACCAUUAUCUCCAGCUUUGUGAUACACUUUCAAAGAGUCGGAUUGUUUGGGAAUGCAGUCCAAAAUGGGUGGUAAAUUUCAUCUAAAGCUAAAUACUGGCGAGAGACCGAUAGCGAACAAGUACCGUGAGGGAAAGAUGAAAAGAACUUUGAAAAGAGAGUUAAACAGUACGUGAAAUUGUCAAAAGGGAAGCGUUUGACACCAGUGUUGUUUUCUCGAAAAUCAAUUAAAAAAGGCCGGAUUUUGUGUUGUAUUGACUUUAUCAGCUUUCUGCACUUUUUUCUUGUCUUUUUUAAUGCACUUUUCGUUUAACAAGUCAACAUCAAUUUCUUUUGUUGUAAAAGGGUCAUUGGAAGGUGGCUUUCUUUUCGGAGAAAGUGUUUAUAGCCUUUGGCCUCUGCAAUCGGAGAGAUUGAGGUCUGCAGCGUAGAUCCUUCGGGGUUAGAUACAUUUGUGCUAAGUUAUAGCCUUUCAUAGACAACUUGUUGACUAUGAUCAGUCAUGUAGCUUACUCGCUUAUGCUAUUUUACCUACGCUUAGGAUGUUGACAAAAUGGUUUUAAACGACCCGUCUUGAAACACGGACC
RNAcentral lists this ribosomal RNA (820 nucleotides) under Caecomyces sp. CYR. RNAcentral's name for it is "eukaryotic LSU rRNA". It matches the Rfam family "Eukaryotic large subunit ribosomal RNA", at positions 1 to 667 of the family's 3401-position model. The record is from RNAcentral. Lineage: Eukaryota; Fungi; Neocallimastigomycota; Neocallimastigomycetes; Neocallimastigales; Neocallimastigaceae.